Molecule: long non-coding RNA, 1993 nt
Filed under: Brassica rapa (field mustard)
Lineage: Eukaryota; Viridiplantae; Streptophyta; Magnoliopsida; Brassicales; Brassicaceae
Description: long non-coding RNA (BRAP_LNC004317)
Source: RNAcentral
UUUUAUAGUUUAAUCCAGUGAUGUCAUGAAAUUAACGAAGCAAGAACCACAGAGCAUUUUUUGGCAAAUAAGAACCAUAGUUCAUAUUUACGGUAUGUGACGAGUUGCUGACUAAUAUAAAAAACCAUAGUUUAUGUUUCAUUAAAUUCAAUGAAAACAAAAACAGAUCUCAUGAAUUUUUUUUUUUACAUUUUUGACCACCAAGUUAAGUAGAUACUAGAAAAACAAAUGAGGAAGAAACACAAGCAAAAAUUAAUGCAUAACCAAAUAUACAUUUGUCAUGAAUUAGUUUUUUUUCUUGAAAUUUUCAUGAAUUAGUUAAAAAAAACAAAACAGAAAAAUAAACAAAACAUUUAGUGAAAAUACAUAUAUAACUUGGGCUUGGAGAAAAUUUAGUCAAAAAAAAAUUAUUUAGUGAAAUUACAUCAUGUAAUGCAAAAAUACAGAAUAUGAAAACAAAAAUAUAAAAAAACCACAAGGACAAAGAAAAACCUAAUUUUACAAUAUUUUCACGUUUAAUAAAACAUAGGCAAACGACAUAAGAGUGGAUCAAGUGAAAUUUGUUUUUAGGUUUUUCACUAAAAUCGAACUUCAAAAAAAAAAAGUAAUGAUAAAUCCACAAACAGUGAUUGAUACUUAAUCAAAACAAAAAAUUUACAAAAACAAAAGUUUUAGUUUUUAGAAAAUUUUAGAUAUAAAAAAUAAAACAAUAACAAUCUAGUGAAAAUACAUAAUAUAAUUUAGUUUGACAAAAUUUUAGUCAACAAACAAUAAUUUAGUAAAAAACAUAAUCAAAUAAAAAUAUUUAUUUAACAAGAAUAAAUAAAGAAAAAUUAAAAGAACACAAAAGAAAAAAAUCCAUUUAUGAUGUUAUUUUCACGUUUUAUCAUACUGAGAAACAAAGAUAAAAACGAAAAAAAAAGAGGAAAACAAACACACAUGUAUGUUUUCCCUUUUGCAACAAUGAAAACCACACAUAUAAUCAUUGUAAGACAUAUAUGUUCUUCUCAUAAUGUAAUCAAGAAAUGUAACAUUACUGUUUCCAAUUAAUUAUGGGACAUUUUAAUAACCCAAUGAAUUCAUUUUUUUUUUUUUUAAAACUAAAAUAAUCCAAUUGCAACAAUGAAAGUUCAAGCAAAUAGUUGCAAAUUCCGAACGAGUGAGACAAUACACAACAAACUAAUAAAGAACACAUAAGAGUAGGCAUAAAAUAGAUGACCUACAACAUAACAAAAAAAAUAAAGUAAUUACAUCGCCUAAACAAACAUAAAACAAUAUCCCAUUACAAAAUUAAAACUAUGACAAUAUGUAGUUUAGUCAAUUAACGAAUUUGACUCUCAAUAUUCUGACAUCAUACAUAAGAAAAAAAUUACAAAAUAAUGAAAAAAAUUAACAUAAUUAACCCUAUUAAACUAAAAAUAAGUACUAGUUAAAACACUUUACAAAUUAAAAUCCUUGUGUGAAGAACUGACAAACCCUUAAUAAAAUAGAUAAAAAUAAAAUAAAAUAUAGACAAAGCCGUAAUCAAAGUUCGAAUAAAAGGAAUAACAAAGAUGACAGGAAUCUGAAAAAUAUAUAAAAUAAAAUAGAGAGAUAGAACCAUCAAUUUGAUCAAAAUAAAAUUCAAUUUUGGUAAACAUCAAAUUUAUUUGCAUAAAUGUGUAUAUAUAAAUGUAUAUAUAUAAAUAAAAAUAAUCAUAAUUCAGGUACGAUAUUAUGGAAGUCAUAUAUAAAUAGUUAAACAAAUAUCACUUAACGUGAUCAAGAAGCACUCUUAUGGAAAUGGAGAGUAUACUUCAUUACUCAAUAUAUCAGCACUUUGGAACAUAUUGUAAAGAUCUGAUCUCGAUGAUUUAAAAUCUACCGGUUUGGCUAAGUUUUUCUAUAGGUUUGAACGAGCUAUAAAUUUGAAAAGAAGAUUUCAAGAUUUCACAACUGGUUACCAUCCUCGAUCAGAAAAUUUAUUAACUAAGACUGCAUGAGUAUUUUAUAG